Long non-coding RNA from Sapajus apella (tufted capuchin), 145 nucleotides. RefSeq lists it as uncharacterized. NCBI's taxonomy places the organism in Eukaryota, Metazoa, Chordata, Mammalia, Primates, Cebidae. The record is from RefSeq and is a predicted model, not a curated record. The transcript has 3 exons.
UUCCACUUGGUUGGGAGGGGGGGGGUGGCUAGGUUUUCCUUGCCAUCAUUCUUCCUAGCAAACAAAAUAUUUUAUCAUACACUCAACAUUUCUCAGCAAUCAUGUACUCAGCAUCUCUCAACAGAAUCUGAGAAAAUACAAAUUA